Molecule: ribosomal RNA, 1580 nt
Filed under: Pseudoacanthocephalus bufonis
Lineage: Eukaryota; Metazoa; Acanthocephala; Palaeacanthocephala; Echinorhynchida; Pseudoacanthocephalidae
Description: eukaryotic LSU rRNA
Rfam family: Eukaryotic large subunit ribosomal RNA (bases 557-1580)
Source: RNAcentral
UUUAUAGAUGGUGACCAAUUUCGAGACCGUUCUGACACUGCCAUUGGCAGACAAGGUGGUGUGUCAGAUCAAAAUUGAAUGAUGAAUGAAAUGACUUGUCUCAAAAAUGAAAUAUAAUCGUGAAUGCAUUCGAGUUGUUGUCGGAUAUCAAGCUUUCUGUUAAGAAAGUGACUUACAUGUGAUCAAGCUGCUUGCUUGUAUAAUGAUUGUCGGUGUACAGUGAAUCACUUGGCUCGCAGAUCGAGGAAGAACAUUGCCAUAUGUGGUAAUUUCUGUGAACUGCAGGUCACAAUGAACAGAGAGUUUUUGAACGCAAAUGACAGCCGUGGGUGAGAACCUACAGCUACAUCCGUCUGAGGUCCGCAAUAUGUGUCGUAUAUAAAGCAAGCUUGAUGUAGUGGCUUUUAUCGGUUGACGCAGCUUGUGCCACCUUGAUGAACUGUUGAUUGAAAAUGUGGUUGGCAAGUUGUAUCAAACUGCGGUAUGAAUAUCGUGUAUCGGUUUGCAUGGAAUUGAUAAUGAUACCGAUGGUCGGUAUAUAUAAUGAUUGUGGAAAGGGCCUCAGAUUGGGUGGGAUUANCCGCUGAAUUUAAGCAUAUUAAUAAGCGGAAGAAAAGAAACCAACUGGGAUUCUAUAAGUAAUGGCGAAUGAACAUAGACAGGUCAUCAUUGAAUUCCUCCACAUUGAGUGGAUGGAAGGUGUGAUGUUCACGUGGUUUAUGCAUUAUAUCAGCGUGCAGUGUAAGUUUGAUUGAACGUGACAUGCCCAGAGAGGGUGAAAGGCCCGUUACACUGCUUGACUGGUAUUCUGAUAGCUGCGUUGGAGUAGGAUUGCUUGAGAAUGCAGUUCGAAUGAUGUGUGGCAAACCCCACACAAGCCUAAAUAUGGCUGCGAGACCGAUAGCGAACAAGUACCAUGAGGGAAAGUUGAAAAGCACUCUGAAAAGAGAGUUCAUAAGAGCGUGCAACUGUACUCUGCAAAGCGAAUGGUUGGGUGAUGCGGGUAUUUGUUAAUCAGGUAUCUCGUGAAUGUGAUGGCUGUUGCUUGAUGAUUGCAACAAUGUUUGCGAGAUGCUGCACUUGACAUUGCUCGAUGUUGCCUGGUGUGCUGAUGGUAGCGCGAUGCUGUUUUGGAUUAGAAUGUCUCUGACAAGUCUAUGAGAACAGCAUCGUAGGAUUGCUUUCAUGCAAUUGCUAUUAUCGGCGCACUAUGAUAUAAUGGCUAUACAUUGUUGGUUCAAUAAGCGUGCUGCGAGCUAUUUGUUCGUUUGUACGCUGGUCGAGAAAACGUUCAAUGGCCUGGUAAGGGCAACGUCUUUACUUGAGCUAUUCGAACCGUCUUGAAACACGGACUAAGGAGUUCAACUCGAACGCAAGUCGUUUUUCACGAUGAAAUUUAAAGGCUAAGUGAAGACGACUCUUUGUGAGAUGUUAACUGAUGCAUCAAUGUUGAUGGUAAGCACGAGUGAUGAGUGACACGUUUGAUCUAGUUGAUCACUGCACCUGAGCGUUCAGGUUGAGACCCGAAAGAUGGUGAACUAUGCCUGAGUAGAAUGAAGCCAGGGGAAACUCUGGUGGAG